UACAGCGGGUGCAAGCGUUAAUCGGAAUUAAUGGGCGUAAAGCGUGCGUAGGUGGUUUGUUAAGUCAGGCGUGAAAUCCCUGGGCUCAACCUGGGAACUGCGUUUGAUACUGGCAGACUCGAGUGUGGUAGAGGGUAGUGGAAUUCCGCAUGUAGCAGUGAAAUGCGUAGAUAUGCGGAGGAACACCAGUGGCGAAGGCGGCUACCUGGACCAACACUGACACUGAGGCACGAAAGCGUGGGGAGCAAACUGG
This 253-nucleotide ribosomal RNA is filed under the name uncultured bacterium. RNAcentral describes it as "partial 16S ribosomal RNA". It matches the Rfam family "Bacterial small subunit ribosomal RNA", at positions 524 to 776 of the family's 1533-position model. The record is from RNAcentral.